UUGAAACCCUAGUUCCUAUACCAUCACUGAAGUUAAACAAUGUCAAGCCUGAUUUGUACCUAGAUGGGUGACCAUGCGGGAAUACCAGGUGCUGUAAU
This is a non-coding RNA of Acanthosepion pharaonis, 98 nucleotides long. The record is from the annotation of a GenBank genome assembly. Lineage: Eukaryota; Metazoa; Mollusca; Cephalopoda; Sepiida; Sepiidae.